GACGAACGCUGGCGGCGUGCUUAACACAUGCAAGUCGAACGGAAAGGCCCUGCUUGCAGGGUACUCGAGUGGCGAACGGGUGAGUAACACGUGGGUGAUCUGCCCUGCACUUCGGGAUAAGCCUGGGAAACUGGGUCUAAUACCGGAUAGGAGCCAUUUCUAGUGUGAUGGUUGGAAAGUUUUUUCGGUGUAGGAUGAGCUCGCGGCCUAUCAGCUUGUUGGUGGGGUAAUGGCCUACCAAGGCGGCGACGGGUAGCCGGCCUGAGAGGGUGGACGGCCACAUUGGGACUGAGAGACGGCACAGACUCCGACGGGAGGCAGCAGUGGGGAAUAUUGCACAAUGGGCGCAAGCCUGAUGCAGCGACGCCGCGUGGGGGAUGACGGCCUUCGGGUUGUAAACUCCUUUCGCUAGGGACGAAGCUUUUUGUGACGGUACCUAGAUAAGAAGCACCGGCUAACUACGUG
This 465-nucleotide ribosomal RNA is filed under the name uncultured bacterium. RNAcentral's name for it is "partial 16S ribosomal RNA". It matches the Rfam family "Bacterial small subunit ribosomal RNA", at positions 28 to 507 of the family's 1533-position model. The record is from RNAcentral.